RNAcentral lists this ribosomal RNA (465 nucleotides) under uncultured bacterium. RNAcentral's name for it is "partial 16S ribosomal RNA". It matches the Rfam family "Bacterial small subunit ribosomal RNA", at positions 338 to 795 of the family's 1533-position model. The record is from RNAcentral.
UCUACGGGAGGCAGCAGUGGGGAAUAUUGCGCAAUGGGCGAAAGCCUGACGCAGCGACGCCGCGUGAGGGAUGAAGGUCUUCGGAUCGUAAACCUCUGUCAGCAGGGAAGAACGGUCACUGUGCUAAUCAGCAGUGAAUUGACGGUACCUGCAAAGGAAGCACCGGCUAACUCCGUGCCAGCAGCCGCGGUAAUACGGAGGGUGCGAGCGUUAAUCGGAAUUACUGGGCGUAAAGCGCUCGUAGGCGGUAUGUCAAGUCAAGGGUGAAAUCCCCGCGCUCAACGUGGGAACUGCCUUUGAAACUGGCAAACUGGAGUGUGUGAGAGGAUAGUGGAAUUGCAGGUGUAGGAGUGAAAUCCGUAGAUAUCUGGAGGAACAUCAGUGGCGAAGGCGACUAUCUGGCACAUAACUGACGCGGAGGAGCGAAAGCGUGGGUAGCAAACAGGAUUAGAUACCCGUGUAGUC